GGGCGCUUGGCACAGGGGUAGCGCGCACGCUUCGCAUGGUCGAUUGCGUGAGGUCGUGGGUUCAAAUCCCACAGUGUCCA
Molecule: transfer RNA, 80 nt
Filed under: Schizophyllum commune
Lineage: Eukaryota; Fungi; Basidiomycota; Agaricomycetes; Agaricales; Schizophyllaceae
Also listed under: 2 other names
Description: tRNA-Ala
Rfam family: tRNA
About the family: Transfer RNA (tRNA) molecules are approximately 80 nucleotides in length.
Source: RNAcentral